AUUAUAAAUAUAGUCUUAUACAAAACUGAUAUAUAAUUAUUAAUUCUAAAAAUAGAAGUAUACAAAGAAACUAUUAUGGAAUUUAAGCUAUGUGUUAAAGAGAAUAAGUUACAUAAAUAAGAAAAAAAAUUCUUAUAAAUGUAUAAACUCUAAGAGAAAUCUAAUAUUAAACGAAGUGAAUUGAAAUAUCUUAGUAACUUCAGGAAAAGAAAUCAAAAGAGAUUCUAUGAAUAGCGUGAGUGAAAGUAGAGAAGCCUAAAAAGUAGAACGGUUUCAAAACUGUUUAAAUAUUGGGGAACCUUCCUCAAAGGCUAAAUAUAAUACAUAAGCGAUAGUAAAAAGUACCAUGAGGGAAUAAAAACAAAAAUAGUAGUUUUAUAAGCAGUUCGAUAAAAAGAGCGUACCUUUUGCAUAAGUGGUCACCAAGUUAACAUUAGAUGCGAGCUGUCUUAACAUGCGUAGUUAAACCGAACGUUAAAUUAACGAAGAAGUGUCUAAAGUUAGACCCGAAGCCAGGUGAUUUUACCAUGGUCAGGAUUAUAAAAGUCCGAACGGGUGAUUGUAGCAAAAAUCUCCGAAGAACCGUGGUAGGUGUAGUGAAAGACAACACUGACCUGGAUAGCUGGUUUUCUGCGAAACCUAUAAUAGUAGGCAAUUUAAGUAAACAUCUUAGCAGGUACAGAAUUUAAUCUCAGACAAGGCGGUUUAUACGCUUUAUAUUGUACAAAUUGGGGGACCAUGAAGGUUUUAUCAGUGAGUAUGUAGACUCGGAAUGGCAAAGAUGUAUCUUAAAUGAUCAGACAUAGAAUGAUAAGGUUGUAUGUCGAAAGGGAAACAGCCCAGAACAAGAGUUAAGGUUCCUAAAUUAUUCGUUGAGUGAAAUUAAGAAGGUUUUUAUUAAAGUCGACAAGGAGAUAGGCUUAGAAGCAGCCAUAAUUUGAUGACCUCGUAACAGAGCGCUUGUUAAGUUAUAAAAGCAUCGAAAAUAUAACGGAUCUAAACAAUAUACCGAAACCUUGUCCAUUAUAUAUUAUAAUAAUAAUAUUUUUAUAAUUCAAUGGGGUAGCAGAACGUUGAGCUAAAUUAUGAAUUUUCUUUUUUAAAUAGAAUGAUAACGAUUUAACUCAAGUGAGAAUGGUGACAUGAGUAACUAAAAGAAAAUUUUCCGCCUUAAGCUUAUGGAUAUAUUUAAGUAACGGCCUCUAAGUUUAUAUUAUCUAAAGAUUUAAACGAUGAGAAAAGCUUUUUUACUAAGGACGACAUUUUAGUGUAAAAUGUACUGGAAAAAUAGUAAAUAUAUUUAUAGUAUAGUUAGUUUAUAAAUGAAGAAUAACCGUACCUAGAAUCUGAAACAAGUAAGCUAGUAGAGAAUACGAAGGCGUAAAUGAGCUAACAAUCAUAAAGGAACUCGGCAAAUUGACUACCGUAACUUCGGAAUAAGGAGGGCUCAUUAUUCUUGAUUAAUAUCAAGUAAAGAGGAAGAAGCAUGAAAUAAUGUUGUACGACUGUUUAAUUAAAACACAGCACUCUGCUGAAAGAUUAAAAAUCUAAGUAUAGAGUGUGAUAUCUGCCCGGUGCCGGCUGGUUAACAGAGAUAAUUAAAUACACUACUAUUUGAUGUCAACGGAAACCCCGGUUAAAGGCGGCCUUAACGUGAGGGUCCUAAGGUAGCGAAAUGCCUUGGCCGUUAAAUGCGGUCUUGCAUGAAUGGUGUAACGAUACAACAGCUGUCUCUAUGAUUGACUCAGUGAAAUUGGAAUAGCAGUGCAGAUACUGCUUACCUCUAGUUAGACGAGAAGACCCUAUGCAGCUUUACUGUCACUAAUUAUAGAUUAUGAUAGACAAUUUUCAGAUUAUAAGGUAAUUGAUUGAUGACAAUGAGAAACCUUUAUUUUUCUUUCAUAUGAAUGAAUUGGUUUAGGAGUAUGAGUGGAUUAUAAUUUAUGUGGUUUUACUGAGCCAAUUUAUUAAAUUAUAAACUAUAUACUUAUACUAGUAGAUCAGCCUAAUUCAACUUAUUAUAUUUAUUAUAGUAAGUACCCUUUGGUAAGGAACUAUCGCUAGAGGACAGUUUAUGUGGGGCACAGACCCUGUAAAGAGUAAACAGGAGUGUCUAAAAAUUUAUAAAUAUUUUGUUUGCUAUUUUGAAUAGUUUAACUAUUCUUAAUCAUAUACAAUUGAUUAUAUUUGCAUUUAUUGUAAAUAUAUUUAAGAUUAGGUAGGAUUUUCACUAUAUAGAAAUUAGAGAUAAUAAAGAUAUUAUGAAUUAUUCUAAUAUCUUUUAGCUAUCUUUUUGAUAGUUAUGUUUACAAUAUCUAAAAAGCUCAACGGCUUAAUUCUGCCUUACUGUUUGAUUAUCUACAAAUCUUACAGUUGCGUAAGCAGGGCAUAGGAUCACAAGAUGCAACAAGGAAAGAUCUUGGAUUAUUGGAAAAGCUACGCUAGGGAUAACAGGCUAAUUUGCGCAAGAGUGUACAAAAUGAGUGCGCGGUUUGGCACCUCGAUGUCGGCUUAACUUAUCCUCAUGGACGCAGGAACUAUGUAGGGUGCGACUGUUCGUCGAUUAAAAAGUUACAUGAGCUGGGUUAAAUACGUCGUGAGACAGUAUGGUUUCUAUCUUCUAGAGGGAAUUAGAAUAAAAUAAGAACUAACUUUUGUACGCAAGGAACAAGAAGAGUUUAACUUUGUUAAACUAUGGUUACUAACCUAUGGUUUACCUGUUGUUUAUGUGCCCAAAUAUUAAAUAUAUAUGCUUUUGUGUAUAUAUCUGUAUUAUUAGAAUAAUACAUAGGGAUGUAUCUUUCACUAAGAUAAUAUAUAGCAUAAGCACGGCAGGAAAGCUAAGUUGGUUAAAGAUAAGUGCUGAAAGCAUAUAGGCACGAAGCUUAUCUUAAGAUAUUUCUUAAAUAUGCGUAGCAUAAUACUACGAAUUUAUAGGCUUUAUCCGUAAGAAUUUAGAGAUUUUAAAGAUUAAAGUACUAAUUUAAUAAUUUACUAUUUAUACAUA
Molecule: ribosomal RNA, 3007 nt
Filed under: Metarhizium rileyi
Lineage: Eukaryota; Fungi; Ascomycota; Sordariomycetes; Hypocreales; Clavicipitaceae
Description: large subunit ribosomal RNA
Rfam family: Bacterial large subunit ribosomal RNA
Source: RNAcentral